AGUGAACGCUGGCGGUAGGCCUAACACAUGCAAGUCGAACGGCAGCACAGUAAGAGCUUGCUCUUACGGGUGGCGAGUCGCGGACGGGUGAGGAAUACAUCGGAAUCUACUUUUUCGUGGGGGAUAACGUAGCGAAACUUACGCUAAUACCGCAUACGACCUACGGGUGAAAGCAGGGGAUCUUCGGACCUUGCGCGAUUGAAUGAGCCGAUGUCGGAUUAGCUAGUUGGCGGGGUAAAGGCCCACCAGGGCGACGAUCCGUAGCUGGUCUGAGAGGAUGAUCAGCCACACGGGAGGUUGAACACGCACCAUGGGCCUACGGGAGGCAGCAGUGGGGAAUAUUGGGCAGUGGGCGCGAGCCUGGUCCAGCCAGACGACGUGGGUGGAAGAGGCCUUCGGUUUGUAAAGCCCUUUUGUUGGGAAAGAAAAGCAGCAGGUUAAUACCCCGCGGUUCUGACGGUACCCAAAGAAUAAGCACCGGCUAACUUCGUG
This 492-nucleotide ribosomal RNA is filed under the name uncultured bacterium. RNAcentral's name for it is "partial 16S ribosomal RNA". It matches the Rfam family "Bacterial small subunit ribosomal RNA", at positions 29 to 507 of the family's 1533-position model. The record is from RNAcentral.